Rosa chinensis is the source of this 573-nucleotide long non-coding RNA. RefSeq lists it as uncharacterized. The transcript is spliced from 2 exons. Lineage: Eukaryota; Viridiplantae; Streptophyta; Magnoliopsida; Rosales; Rosaceae. The record is from RefSeq and is a predicted model, not a curated record.
CAAAUUCGGUAAUCUGAGUGGUUAAAAUUAUCCGACGGCUGAAAACAUUAUGUGGGCAGCUAUAUAAACGUCCUUGAACCCUAAAAUCAGCCAUCAAUCGUCUCGCUCGCAAACAUGUUGUCGAAUGUUUUCUCUGUCACAAAGGCCAUGCCCUGGAUUGCAAUUUCGAGUGCCUUUACUAGAACCUUAACUUUUGGAUCUACAGCCUACUUUUUUUACCGUACGGUCCCGUUGUUUGGUGAAGUCAUGAAAUCCCAAAAGGCUGCAAACGAGGCCUUCCAUCAGUGCUGGUCCAGUUCUGGAUCCAAGUAACACCCUUCUGUUCUAAAUGGGUACAAUGGUAAUGUAAUGUAAUGUGAUGUGAUGUGAUGUUGGAGGAUGACUAUUUUGCUUGAAUAAUUUUAAGACCUUGUAGUGGUAUAUGUAUCUUUUGCUGACUUUAGCGGUCUUAUGGCUUAUUUGAUCGUUGCCGCAAGUCUUAUUUUGAGACUCAUUUAGGAUUACUAGCCACUCCAUGUCUAAUUUUAAGACCUCGUAAUUGGGUUAUAUACUACUGUCCAUGUUUAGUCCCAA